CUUGACCGAGCCCAGCAGCAGCGGCCGGUCGGCCGGCCGCCGCUGCCCGUACGUCGCGUGCAGCGCGUCGGCCUC
This 75-nucleotide antisense RNA is filed under the name Streptomyces bingchenggensis BCW-1. RNAcentral's name for it is "ASpks TB sRNA". It matches the Rfam family "ASpks TB sRNA". Lineage: Bacteria; Bacillati; Actinomycetota; Actinomycetes; Kitasatosporales; Streptomycetaceae. The record is from Rfam by way of RNAcentral.